AGAGUUUGAUCAUGGCUCAGGACGAACGCUGGCGGCGUGCUUAACACAUGCAAGUCGAACGGUGACGGAGGAGCUUGCUCCUCCUGAUCAGUGGCGAACGGGUGAGUAACACGUGAGCAAUCUGCCCCUGACUCUGGGAUAACCUCGGGAAACCGAAGCUAAUACCGGAUACGAAGCGCGAAGGCAUCUUCAGCGCUUGGAAAGAAUUUCGGUCAGGGAUGAGCUCGCGGCCUAUCAGUUAGUUGGUGAGGUAACGGCUCACCAAGACGACGACGGGUAGCCGGCCUGAGAGGGUGACCGGCCACACUGGGACUGAGACACGGCCCAGACUCCUACGGGAGGCAGCAGUGGGGAAUAUUGCACAAUGGGCGCAAGCCUGAUGCAGCAACGCCGCGUGAGGGAUGACGGCCUUCGGGUUGUAAACCUCUUUUAGCAGGGAAGAAGCGAAAGUGACGGUACCUGCAGAAAAAGCACCGGCUAACUACGUGCCAGCAGCCGCGGUAAUACGUAGGGUGCAAGCGUUGUCCGGAAUUAUUGGGCGUAAAGAGCUCGUAGGCGGUUUGUCGCGUCUGCUGUGAAAACGCGAGGCUCAACCUCGCGCCUGCAGUGGGUACGGGCAAACUAGAGUGCGGUAGGGGAGAUUGGAAUUCCUGGUGUAGCGGUGGAAUGCGCAGAUAUCAGGAGGAACACCGAUGGCGAAGGCAGAUCUCUGGGCCGUAACUGACGCCGAGGAGCGAAAGCGUGGGGAGCGAGCAGGAUUAGAUACCCUAGUAGUCC
RNAcentral lists this ribosomal RNA (777 nucleotides) under uncultured bacterium. RNAcentral's name for it is "bacterial SSU rRNA". It matches the Rfam family "Bacterial small subunit ribosomal RNA", at positions 8 to 796 of the family's 1533-position model. The record is from RNAcentral.